RNAcentral lists this ribosomal RNA (254 nucleotides) under uncultured bacterium. RNAcentral's name for it is "partial 16S ribosomal RNA". It matches the Rfam family "Bacterial small subunit ribosomal RNA", at positions 524 to 776 of the family's 1533-position model. The record is from RNAcentral.
UACGAAGGGGGCUAGCGUUGUUCGGAAUCACUGGGCGUAAAGGGCGCGUAGGCGGCCUGAUAAGUCGGGGGUGAAAGCCUGUGGCUCAACCACAGAAUUGCCCUUCGAUACUGUUAGGCUUGAGACCGGAAGAGGUAAGUGGAACUGCGAGUGUAGAGGUGAAAUUCGUAGAUAUUCGCAAGAACACCAGUGGCGAAGGCGGCUUACUGGUCCGGUACUGACGCUGAGGUGCGAAAGCGUGGGGAGCAAACAGG